AGUGAACGCUGGCGGUAGGCCUAACACAUGCAAGUCGAACGGCAGCACAGUAAGAGCUUGCUCUUACGGGUGGCGAGUGGCGGACGGGUGAGGAAUACAUCGGAAUCUACUUUUUCGUGGGGGAUAACGUAGGGAAACUUACGCUAAUACCGCAUACGACCUACGGGUGAAAGCAGGGGAUCUUCGGACCUUGCGCGAUUGAAUGAGCCGAUGUCGGAUUAGCUAGUUGGCGGGGUAAAGGCCCACCAAGGCGACGAUCCGUAGCUGGUCUGAGAGGAUGAUCAGCCACACUGGAACUGAGACACGUUCCAGACUCCUACGGAAGGCAGCAGAGGGGAAUAUUGGACAAUGGGCGCAAGCCUGAUCCAGCCAUACCGCGUGGGUGAAGAAGGCCUUCGGGUUGUAAAGCCCUUUUGUUGGGAAAGAAAAGCAGCAGGUUAAUACCCCGCUGUUCUGACGGUACCCAAAGAAUAAGCACCGGCUAACUUCGUG
RNAcentral lists this ribosomal RNA (492 nucleotides) under uncultured bacterium. RNAcentral describes it as "partial 16S ribosomal RNA". It matches the Rfam family "Bacterial small subunit ribosomal RNA", at positions 29 to 507 of the family's 1533-position model. The record is from RNAcentral.